UUGGUUAAGUCCCGCAACGAGCGCAACCCUUAUUGCUAGUUACCAUCAUUGAGUUGGGGACUCUAGCGAGACUGCCAGUGAUAAACUGGAGGAAGGUGGGGGAUGACGUCAAAUCAUCAUGCCCCUUAUGACCUGGGCUACAAACGUGAUACAAUGGCUGAAACAAAGGGCAGCGAAGCAGUGAUGUGGAGCGAAACCCAAAAAAGCAGUCUCAGUUCGGAUUGAAGUCUGCAACUCGACUUCAUGAAGUCGGAAUCGCUAGUAAUCGCGGAUCAGAACGCCGCGGUGAAUACGUUCUCGGGGUUU
Molecule: ribosomal RNA, 306 nt
Filed under: uncultured Acholeplasma sp.
Lineage: Bacteria; Bacillati; Mycoplasmatota; Mollicutes; Acholeplasmatales; Acholeplasmataceae
Description: bacterial SSU rRNA
Rfam family: Bacterial small subunit ribosomal RNA
Source: RNAcentral